UUAUUGAUGUAGUUUAGAGUUGUAGUGGGAAUACGU
This 36-nucleotide non-coding RNA is filed under the name Trypanosoma brucei brucei. Lineage: Eukaryota; Euglenozoa; Kinetoplastea; Trypanosomatida; Trypanosomatidae. The record is from RNAcentral.